GUCCUUUAGGUAAUUAUAAUUUAAGGUCUAACCUGCCCAUUGAUAAGUUAAAAGGCCGCAGUAAUUUGACUGUGCAAAGGUAGCAUAAUCAUUAGUUUUUUAAUUAAAAGCUUGUAUGAAUGGUUGGACGAGAUAAAAUCUGUCUCUUUAUAAAAAAUAGAAUUUAAUUUUUAAGUUAAAAAGCUUAAAUUUAUAUAAAAGACGAGAAGACCCUAUAGAUCUUUAUAUAAUUUUAUAUAGUAUUAAUAAAGUUAAUUUAAUUUACUAUAAUAAAUUAUAUUUUAUUGGGGUAAUAAAAAGAUUAAUAUAAUUCUUUUUUUUUGAUACAAUAAUUAUUGAUUUUAUGAUCCAUUAUUAAUGAUUAUAUGAUUAAGUUACCUUAGGGAUAACAGCGUAAUUUUUUUAGAGAGUUCUUAUCAAUAAAAAAGUUUGCGA
RNAcentral lists this ribosomal RNA (435 nucleotides) under Hydroporus carri. RNAcentral's name for it is "partial 16S ribosomal RNA". Lineage: Eukaryota; Metazoa; Arthropoda; Insecta; Coleoptera; Dytiscidae. The record is from RNAcentral.